AGUGAAGUCGCUCUUAGCAACCCCAAUGACUGCAGCCUACCAGGCUCCUCUGUCCAUGGGAUUUUCCAGGCGAGAGUACUGGAGCAGGGUGCCAUUGCCUUCUUCUAAACCCAGGCUACUGCAGUGAAAGUACUAAACUGGACUGCCAGGGAAAUCCCAUAAAUUAUCGUUCAAAAAAAAUAAUACAGGACUUCCCUGGUGGUGCAAUGGUUAAGAAUUCACCUGCCAGUGUAGGUAGGGGGACACAGGCUUGAUCACUGGUCCAGAAAGAUUCCCCUAUGCCGUGGGUCAGCUGAGCCCGUGAACCACAACUGCGGAGCCCACGCGCAGCUGCUCCUGAAUGCCGAGUGCAGCCUGAGUGGCCACCGCAGUGAAAAGCCUGUGCACUGCCACGAAGAGUAGCCCCUGCUCGCUGCAACUGGAGCAAGCCCACACAUAGCAACGAAGACCCAGGGCAGCCAAAAAUAAUUUGAAAAAUAAAGAUUUUAAAAAUAAUAACACAAAUUAAGGGCUGAGACCCUGCCACAUGCUCUGCAUCAAGUUAUUUGAGGGGAAAAGUCAUGGUAAGAAGAACAUUUCAUGAGAAGGCAGAAGGCCUAGAUUCUGGUCCUCUCAGUAAAAACCCACUUAACCAGCUGUGGGACCUUCGAAGAGUUUCCCGAGCCUUAGUUACAUCUUCUGAAACUAAGGGGAAAUUGUAUUAGCCUACUGGAAAAAAUAUCUAGUUCUUCUGUUUUCAGCCCGUAGAAGAAACUCUCCCUCUUCUCAGGUGCAACUCUGAGGAGUAACUUCAGUGACCUUUCCUUUGAAUGAGGGAAAGCACUGACAUUGCAUUGACUUGGCAACUAAGGCUCCCUGUCGUGUGUUAGUAAACCUGCCCAAGGCAACUAAAUGUUCAACUUGGUGACCAGUGACUGGAUUUCCUGCCCUUCCCAAGUGCCUGUGCUUGCUUUAUUAGUAGACAAGGAUCAGAGGAACCAACCAUCACAGCAGCAGGAAUUGAUAAAUUGUAGGUUGUUGUGCAAAUUAAACGAAGAGGACUAACAAAGGAAUAGCUGCAUUUCGGACAUGUUGAGUUUUGGCCAUCAGCACAUUCAUAGGCCAGGAGAGGUGGAACUGGAGACCGGAGUUGGAGCCAUCCACGCUGACAUGAUAAUUACACCUGCCACGAUACUGGAUGGGACGUCUCUAAGAUGGGGAUGCUAUCACUUAACCACACAGAGUAGUUAUGAAUCUUCAGCUAGAUACCUGAUAGAGCACUAGCAUAGCACCUAGCGCAUAGGAAGAACUUAACGAAUGGUAGCUAUUUUUUACUGUCAUUAUCAUCAGUGUCAUCGUCAUUGUCACUGAAAGACCAGGAACAAAUAGUAUCAGGUGGAAAAGAGUUUCAAGAAGAAAGAAAUGGGGACUUCCCUGGAGCUCCAGUUAAGACUUGUUUGAUCACUGUUCAGGGAACUAAGAUGCCACAUGCUGUGCUGCACGGCCAGAAAAGAAGAAAGAAACAGUUACCAGGUUCAUAUGCUGUUAAGGAAAGGAUGAGAAAAGCUAUUGAAUUUAGGGAUUAGGGAUAUUAAUCAGGGUAGGCUAACUGCGGUAACAAACAACUCCCCAAACUCAGUGGUUUAAUAAUAAAAGAUUUUUCUUGCUCA
This is a long non-coding RNA of Cervus elaphus (red deer), 1649 nucleotides long. RefSeq lists it as uncharacterized. The transcript is spliced from 2 exons. Lineage: Eukaryota; Metazoa; Chordata; Mammalia; Artiodactyla; Cervidae. The record is from RefSeq and is a predicted model, not a curated record.